CAGUCGCCGCGGGAAUACGAAGGGUGCAAGCGUUAAUCGGAAUUACUGGGCGUAAAGCGUGCGUAGGCGGUGAGCUAAGUCUGCUGUGAAAUCCCCGGGCUCAACCUGGGAAUGGCAGUGGAUACUGGCUCGCUAGAGUGUGUCAGAGGAUGGCGGAAUUCCCGGUGUAGCGGUGAAAUGCGUAGAGAUCGGGAGGAACAUCAGUGGCGAAGGCGGCCAUCUGGGACAACACUGACGCUGAGGCACGAAAGCGUGGGGAGCAAACAGGAUUAGAUACCCCUGUAGUCCCUGUCUCUUAUAC
Molecule: ribosomal RNA, 301 nt
Filed under: uncultured bacterium
Lineage: Bacteria
Description: partial 16S ribosomal RNA
Rfam family: Bacterial small subunit ribosomal RNA
Source: RNAcentral